Molecule: ribosomal RNA, 494 nt
Filed under: uncultured bacterium
Lineage: Bacteria
Description: partial 16S ribosomal RNA
Rfam family: Bacterial small subunit ribosomal RNA
Source: RNAcentral
GACGAACGCUGGCGGCGUGCUUAACACAUGCAAGUCGAACGGUGAAGCGCCUUCCUUUUUGGUGGGUGUGGAUGAGUGGCGAACGGGUGAGUAACACGUGAGUAACCUGCCCCCUUCUUCUGGAUAACCGCAUGAAAGUGUGGCUAAUACGGGAUAUUCUGGGUCUGUCGCAUGAUGGGUCUGGGAAAGAUAUUGUUUCGGUGGGGGAUGGGCUCGCGGCCUAUCAGCUUGUUGGUGGGGUGAUGGCCUACCAAGGCGGUGACGGGUAGCCGGCCUGAGAGGGUGGACGGUCCCACUGGGUCUGAGACACGGCCCAGACUCCUACGGGAGGCAGCAGUGGGGAAUAUUGCACAAUGGGCGCAAGCCUGAUGCAGCGACGCCGCGUGAGGGAUGGAGGCCUUCGGGUUGUGAACCUCUUUCGCCAGUGAAGCAGGCCUGCCUCGUUUGUGGGUGGGUUGACGGUAGCUGGAUAAGAAGCGCCGGCUAACUACGUG